CCAGCCCCGCGCGCGGGGCGGACUCGGCCGAGCCUUGAGACUUACCUGAAGCACGUGGUGAGCUCGCCUGAAGGCUUCAGACAUGGGUAUCUGGUCGUGGCGAUUUUAUUCUCCGAGCAGAUUUCUCUGUGAAAGAGUUGGAGGAACUUCGUUGAUUCUCCGCGGGAGAACAGAGGGCUGCGCGCGCUGGCCAUCUGCGUCCUGCGCGCGCGGCGCAGACGCUGGUGCCCCAGCGCGGACGCGAAGGGACCUCCGGGGUCAGGGGCGGGCCAGGCGAGGGUCCAGCGGAGCAAAGCCAGCCCCAAGAGAAGAAAAAAAAAAAAAAAUAAGGGUGAAGAAGCGGGGCCCUAGAGGGUGGCAAGAAUGCGGGGCGCGGGUGUCACGGAGCCCGGACCCACAGAAGGGAGAGCCCGGGGUCGAGCAACUAAUGAGCUCUCGCCGGCUCCUCGUGGGGUUUUUAAAUCCUCUUGCCUCCGAGCUGCUUUAAUGCUGUUUCAAAACCAAGCACACACGUGAGAGCUGGAAACUCCUGGAAGAUCAGGUGAGACUCUGAAGGGGGCCGUUAAUCACCGGCCCUGCCCCCCAGCUAGUUAAGCGGGCUUAUUUACCCGUAUCGCGAAACCCGGGCUGGGGGCGGUAAAUCAGCUCGUCGGGGGUGACCCAGCUGUAACCCGUGUGUAUGUCUACACAUUAGGCGUUUCUGUGCCUGUUAAAAGAGAAACUCAUGACACAAACGUGCCCCGCUGAGCAAGUGGUCCUGGCCCAGAAAUAAGUUGCUGGAGCACGAGGUUGUAAUACUAACUUCUAACAAAGGCAUUCUGCAGCUCGGCAGGAUGAGGAGGUGAAAAGGUAGCUUGUUCACAAGUUACCAGUGUGCUAAUUGGUUGGGUAAGCUGGUGUUUUGAGAAUGAUCAUGAAUAUCACGCACCUCUUGACAUUGUAAACAGCAAUGGUAUCAUCAUCCCUCUGUAGAAUGCUUUUGUAUUUUCCAAAGGUUUUUCACGUUUAUCAUUUUAUUUUAAUACAAUGCCCUUUGAAAUGAGGAGCCCAACUUCUUCAUUCAGCAAGGUAGUUUUUUCCCCCAAAACUUAUACACAUGGCAGAGGGUAAAAAGUCUUGAUAUUAAUAUAACGGUGCCACGCAAAAGUCAAUUUUCACGUGGUCAUUCAGGAGACACUUCAGAAGCUUGUAAAAUCUGCCGGUGACCAUCAUGAGGUCCGCAGAAAGCCCUGGAUUCAAACCCAGGCUCUGUGGCUUCCUAGGUCUGUGACCUCGGGCAAGUCAUAUAAACUUCUGAAUCUCAGUUUUCUCAUCUGUAAAAUGGGGGAAACCUCCCUAUAAAUGUUUAAGAGUAAUAAGUCAAUGCAUGUAACACAGUUUCAUGGUGCCCAGCAUAUACUAGGUGCUCAGUGGACAAUAACUGUUGUCAUUUUUAACCUAAAAGAUUAUAGGGCACAGGAUUUUCAGCUUCAACUUUCCAGCUUGCUGCUUUCUAGAGAAGAGUUUAUUUCACAACAGUUCUUCGGGUUCCUAAAGAGAUACCUGUCUAAGCACUGGAAAAAUAAACUCAUCCUGGAGCUUGUAAAAAUUGUGUCC
Molecule: long non-coding RNA, 1596 nt
Filed under: Sus scrofa (pig)
Lineage: Eukaryota; Metazoa; Chordata; Mammalia; Artiodactyla; Suidae
Description: lncRNA (ENSSSCG00025016729.1)
Source: RNAcentral